RNAcentral lists this ribosomal RNA (500 nucleotides) under uncultured bacterium. RNAcentral's name for it is "partial 16S ribosomal RNA". It matches the Rfam family "Bacterial small subunit ribosomal RNA", at positions 30 to 523 of the family's 1533-position model. The record is from RNAcentral.
AUUGAACGCUGGCGGCAUGCCUUACACAUGCAAGUCGAACGGCAGCACGGGAGUAAUCCUGGUGGCGAGUGGCGAACGGGUGAGUAAUGUAUCGGAACGUGCCCAAUCGUGGGGGAUAACGCAGCGAAAGCUGUGCUAAUACCGCAUACGAUCUAUGGAUGAAAGCGGGGGAUCGCAAGACCUCGCGCGAUUGGAGCGGCCGAUAUCAGAUUAGCUAGUUGGUGGGGUAAAAGCUUACCAAGGCGGCGAUCUGUAGCUGGUCUGAGAGGACGACCAGACACACUGGAACUGAGAAACGGUCCAGACUCCUACGGGAGGCAGAAGUGGGGAAUUUUGGACAAUGGGCGAAAGCCUGAUCCAGCAAUGCCGCGUGCAGGAUGAAGGCCUUCGGGUUGUAAACUGCUUUUGUACGGAGCGAAAAGGCUCUCUCUAAUACAGGGGGCUCAUGACGGUACCGUAAGAAUAAGCACCGGCUAACUACGUGCCAGCAGCCGCCGUAA